Pelobates cultripes (western spadefoot toad) is the source of this 214-nucleotide non-coding RNA. NCBI's taxonomy places the organism in Eukaryota, Metazoa, Chordata, Amphibia, Anura, Pelobatidae. The record is from the annotation of a GenBank genome assembly.
GUUUAAUCUUCACCUUAUAAGGUCUUUCUCAAGUGCAACCAGACACCAAAGAAAAAAAAACUAGGACAGUGGCCCAAACUCCUGCCUUUCCUUUAAUAUAUGGGACUGUUGGGAAAUUUGAGCCAUGUUGAGAUUUUCUAUAUAAAUGUUCACUGACAAUACAACUGCUGAUUACACUAAAAUGAACAAGUUCAUCUUAAAUUUUCAACUCAGC